Lagenorhynchus albirostris (white-beaked dolphin) is the source of this 616-nucleotide long non-coding RNA. RefSeq lists it as uncharacterized. The record is from RefSeq and is a predicted model, not a curated record. The transcript has 2 exons. NCBI's taxonomy places the organism in Eukaryota, Metazoa, Chordata, Mammalia, Artiodactyla, Delphinidae.
AUUCCAUCAGUUCAGCCAUGAAAUUCCCUUGCCAUGAUGAAAUACACUUGCCAAAGGAUGGCUAAUACUGACCUUGGCAUUACCUAGCCCUGGUAGGAAGGCAGUCAACAGCUCACAUUGGCAGAGGUGGAAAACACCAUCAUGGAGGGGAAGAGAGACAAAGCGAGGGGAGAAAUGCAGAAGAGACUGAAGCUGAGAAUGAGAAUAAACAAAACACAGGUUUGGAAGUCAGACACCCAGACUCUGCCAUGGACUCAUCGCAUGAACCUUUAAUAACCGAAGUUAUUAAAUGGCUUCCCUGGUGGCACAGUGGUUGGGAAUCCGCCUGCCAAUGCAGUAGGACACGGGUUCGAGCCCCGGUCUCGGAGGAUCCCACAUGCCGCGGAGCAGCUGAGCCCAUGCGCCACAACUACUGAGCCUAUGUGCUACAACUACUGAAGCCUGAGCGCCUAGAGCCCGUGCUCCACAACAACAGAAGCCACCGCAAUGAGAGGCCCGCGCACCGCAGCGAAGAGUGGCCCCUGCUCGCCGCCAAUAGAGAAAGCCCGCACGCAGCAACAAAGACCCAACACAGCCAAAAAUAAAUAAAUAAAAUAAAUAAAUUUAAAAAAACAAA